CGUAGGGUGCGAGCGUUAAUCGGAAUUACUGGGCGUAAAGCGUGCGCAGGCGGUUUUGUAAGACAGGCGUGAAAUCCCCGGGCUCAACCUGGGAACUGCGCUUGUGACUGCAAGGCUAGGAGUACGGCAGAGGGGGUGGAAUUCCACGUGUAGCAGUGAAAUGCGUAGAGAUGUGGAGGAACACCAAUGGCGAAGGCAGCCCCCUGGGUCGAUACUGACGCUCAUGCACGAAAGCGUGGGUAGCAAACAGGAUUAGAUACCCCUGGUAGUCCACGCCCUAAACGAUGUCAACUAGGUGUUGGGUGGGUAAAACCAUUUAGUACCGGAGCUAACGCGUGAAGUUGACCGCCUGGGGAGUACGGCCGCAAGGUU
This 372-nucleotide ribosomal RNA is filed under the name uncultured organism. RNAcentral's name for it is "bacterial SSU rRNA". It matches the Rfam family "Bacterial small subunit ribosomal RNA", at positions 526 to 895 of the family's 1533-position model. The record is from RNAcentral.